GAAAUUCGCCUUCAUGAAGCCGGAAUUACUAGUAAUGGCAGGUCAGCAUACUGCCGUGAAUACGUUCCCGGGCCUUGUACACACCGCCCGUCACACCAUGAGAGUUGGGAAUACCCGAAGCCUGUGAGCUAACAUUACGAGGCAGCAGUCGAAGGUAGAAUCAAUGAUUGGGGUGAAGUCGUAACAAGGUAUC
This 193-nucleotide ribosomal RNA is filed under the name uncultured bacterium. RNAcentral describes it as "partial 16S ribosomal RNA". It matches the Rfam family "Bacterial small subunit ribosomal RNA", at positions 1307 to 1500 of the family's 1533-position model. The record is from RNAcentral.